This 468-nucleotide ribosomal RNA is filed under the name uncultured bacterium. RNAcentral's name for it is "partial 16S ribosomal RNA". It matches the Rfam family "Bacterial small subunit ribosomal RNA", at positions 28 to 507 of the family's 1533-position model. The record is from RNAcentral.
GACGAACGCUGGCGGCGUGCUUAACACAUGCAAGUCGAACGGAAAGGCCCUGCUUUUGUGGGGUGCUCGAGUGGCGAACGGGUGAGUAACACGUGAGUAACCUGCCCUUGACUUUGGGAUAACUUCAGGAAACUGGGGCUAAUACCGGAUAGGAGCUCCUGCUGCAUGGUGGGGGUUGGAAAGUUUCGGCGGUUGGGGAUGGACUCGCGGCUUAUCAGCUUGUUGGUGGGGUAGUGGCUUACCAAGGCUUUGACGGGUAGCCGGCCUGAGAGGGUGACCGGCAACAUUGGGACUGAGAUACGGCCCAGACUGCUACGGGAGGCAGCAGUGGGGAAUAUUGCACAAUGGGCGGAAGCCUGAUGCAGCAACGCCGCGUGCGGGAUGACGGCCUUCGGGUUGUAAACCGCUUUCGCCUGUGACGAAGCGUGAGUGACGGUAAUGGGUAAAGAAGCACCGGCUAACUACGUG